AUUGCUUCUAGGCCUUUUGGUGAAGAUCAAGUGUAGUAUCUGUUCUUAUCAGUUUAAUAUCUAAUUUAUUUGCAUCCUGGCUUGUAACAGGAAUCGUGUGGCCAGCAGGAGCAGGGAGGUGAUGGUGCCCCUGCACUGGGCACUGGGGAGGCCGCCCCUCGAAUGCUGUGCUCAGC
Molecule: small nuclear RNA, 176 nt
Filed under: Nipponia nippon (crested ibis)
Lineage: Eukaryota; Metazoa; Chordata; Aves; Pelecaniformes; Threskiornithidae
Description: U2 spliceosomal RNA
Rfam family: U2 spliceosomal RNA (bases 1-99)
About the family: U2 is a small nuclear RNA (snRNA) component of the spliceosome (involved in pre-mRNA splicing). Complementary binding between U2 snRNA (in an area lying towards the 5' end but 3' to hairpin I) and the branchpoint sequence (BPS) of the intron results the bulging out of an unpaired adenosine, on the BPS, which initiates a nucleophilic attack at the intronic 5' splice site, thus starting the first of two transesterification reactions that mediate splicing.
Source: Rfam by way of RNAcentral